CCCUUAGAUGUUCUGGGCUGCACGCGCGCUACACUGAUGCAUCCAACAAGUUUUUUCCUUGUUCGAGAGGACUAGGUAAUCUUAUGAGAAUGCAUCGUGAUGGGGAUAGAUUAUUGCAAUUAUUAAUCUUCAACGAGGAAUUCCUAGUAAGCGCGAGUCAUCAGCUUGCAUUGAUUACGUCCCUGCUCUUUGUACACACCGCCCGUCGCACCUACUGAUUGAAUGACUCGGUGAAAAAUCGGGACUGCGAGAACAAUCGAUUAAUUUCGAAUGUACUUGUGGGAACUUUUUUUAACCUCGCCAUUUAGAAGAAGGUGAAGUCGUAACA
Molecule: ribosomal RNA, 328 nt
Filed under: uncultured eukaryote
Lineage: Eukaryota
Description: partial 18S ribosomal RNA
Rfam family: Eukaryotic small subunit ribosomal RNA
Source: RNAcentral